Molecule: long non-coding RNA, 259 nt
Organism: Gorilla gorilla gorilla (western lowland gorilla)
Lineage: Eukaryota; Metazoa; Chordata; Mammalia; Primates; Hominidae
Exons: 3
Source: RefSeq, a predicted model, not a curated record
GGCCUUAUGGACCUCCUGGAGGAGAAGGUGGACCUGAGGUAGCGAGCGGAGAAACUAGAACUUCGAUUCAUCCAGUACUGGAAAGACAGAAGUCAUCAGAAAGUUCAUCACCCUAGAACACAGCCAGGGGGCAGUGCCAAAGAUGCAGCAACGGGAGGAGGACAUCAUCAGGCUGGUCCAGGACACGGAGGAGAUGAAGGUGAAGCUGCUGGAGCUGCUGGAGAUGAUGUUGCGGCUUGUGGUGGCUACAAGGAGGGGC